UUGCAAUUCUCGCGAAGUUUUUUUCAUUCUUCAACCUGCCGUAAGAAUGACACGUUUGUACACCUAUGUCACAUGGGCUUUUGACAGCUGUGUUUCGUGACGGUGAUUGGCUGCGGCUAUUUCGCGACGGCAGAAAACGCCAUAUUGGUCGCACUUUCCCUCCACGCCCUCCGCAGUCCGCUGCUGUGCUGCGAUCGCUGUGAUGUCUGACGGGGCGGGGCGUCAAUGACGCGAGGGGCGCGGGAAGCGCGAAACUUUAGGAAGCGGGAUCGCGCGGACGCGCGCAGCCUCGGGCAGACACUUACCCUCGGCCAACAAACGUGUAUUCUUAAUUAACAGUGUAAUUUUCAACAAGACGCCAGCAUCUAAAUUUGCAACCAUAUGUAUUUCCUCACGAUUAUAAGAUAAUUAUUGAUUCAUGUGUACUAAUUAUAAAGUAAAUCACAGUAACAAGCAGACUGCCCACAUGACAUGAAAACUUUCUAUGAAACUUUCAAUAAAAUAUUUUAUAGACAGAUUAUGAGAACCUUUUAACCAACACUAUUCUUAAUAAUAAUAAUAAUAAUAAUAAUAAUAAUAAUAAUAACAAUAAUCAUAAUAAUAAACAAUCGACGUUGUGCUACGUACAUCAAAGGACAAUACAAUUCGAUCCUAAGAUAUAUGCGUAACAAUUAAGAAUGUAGAUCAUACGAAUAGAUGCCUAUUGUCCGUCAACAAUUUUGACGGCAACAUUAUAUUUCACUGAUAUUUUUCAAAUUUGCAAGCUACAUAUGUUGCUUCCGCAAAGCAUGUGUAGAAAUAAUAUACUGCUUAUGUUAAAAUAAAGCACCAUCCUAAACUGUGUAGAUAAAUGCACGGUAACACAUAUGCAAUAAAAAUAUUAUGUUAAUUAGUCAUGAUGGUAAGGCAGAGAACGUGAUUCAACCGAACAUGCCUCCGAGCAAAAAUACUUCAGCCCCGUUUUCGCUUUCCAAGGCAUGAAGAUUUUUCGAAACUUUGGUAGUUUACCAGAAUUAUGUGUAUGACAUAUGUAAUAUGAUACAUGUAAAAUCCGCCAUAUGUACGUAAAGAUAUAUACCUUUCGAACAUGUAGAUGUACGUGAUGUUUCGAUCAAUUGCACCUGAUAAAGAAGUCAAAGUUUAGCAUCAAACUGACUUGCUAAUUGUAAGAUUCAUUUUCCACUCCAAGGUAUAUUAUACAGACUGCGAUACUAGCAACAGGUCGAGUUCGGAUCAAGCGUAAUUAAUCGAAACUUCCUGUACACAAUAUAUUUGGAUUAUUUCUGUAGCCAUGGAUAAUAGCAUAAAUACUUCACUACCCCGAUAAUGUAAAGUCACCCUGGCCAUCUUUACCAUAAAUUAUAUAUUAAGUUGUUUCGUUUGAAUGCAAAAUUUUGUUUCG
RNAcentral lists this long non-coding RNA (1402 nucleotides) under Neodiprion pinetum (white pine sawfly). RNAcentral describes it as "uncharacterized LOC124220900". The record is from RNAcentral. Lineage: Eukaryota; Metazoa; Arthropoda; Insecta; Hymenoptera; Diprionidae.